AUACUAUGCUUAAGGUCCUUUCAAAUGUCUGACCUGAGAUGAACUUGUAGACAAAGUUAACACUGAAGAA
Molecule: small nucleolar RNA, 70 nt
Organism: Callithrix jacchus (white-tufted-ear marmoset)
Lineage: Eukaryota; Metazoa; Chordata; Mammalia; Primates; Cebidae
Source: Ensembl